GCUUUGCAGAACAGCUUAAUGUUGGCUGCAUCACAAAGGGCUUCUAAAAACAUUCAAAGUGAGUCUAAUAUCAUCCGGUAAAUAUUGACCAGCAAGUGUCCUCAGUGAGCAACGUUUGUAACUAAGUCCUCCACAUUUGGCUUCAACUCAUACGACGACUUCUCAUUGACCAAUAUGGAGAAAAACACAGGAUGGUUUAUGUUGGGGACAAAAGCGGAUGUCACACAGAAUGCUGCUGCUUCCACCACCACCACAACGACUGAAAAUGGGUCCUCCACAUUUAGCUACAACUUACCCGGGGUCUGCUCAUUCUCCGUUCCGAUCAUCAACAAAGAUUGCUCUACGUGUGGGAGAAAAGCGGAGGUCAAACACGAUUUUGUUGGUCCCAUCAUCACCACGGCUGAAAAUGGGUCCUCCAUAUAUCGCUUCAACGCAUACGGCUGCAACUUCUCAUGCACCGUCCCAAUCAAGAAGACACAAAACUUUGGUUUUGGGCAACCAGGGCCAUCCUUCAACCCAAACACCAGCAUCCCACUUCCUAAUUUGUUCAAGCCGAGAGAAUCCUCUGCGUUUGGGCCAAAAGGGGAUGUCACACAGAAUGCUGCUGCUCCCAUCAACUUCAAAGCGACUGAGAACGGGCCAUCCACAUUAGGCUUCAACUCAAACAGCAGCUCCCCAUUCCCUAAUUUUUUCGGUCAGAGAGGACCCUCUGCGUUUGGGCCAAAAGCGGACGUCACACAGAAUGCUGCUGCUCCCACCAACUUCAGAGCGACUGAGAACGGGCCCUCCACAUUAGGCUUCGGCAGCAACCCACUUCCUAAUUUGUUCGGUCGGAGAGAACCCUCUGCGUUUGGGCCAAAAGCGGAUGUCACACAGAAUGCUGCUGCUCCCACCACCUUCACAAUGACUGCAAAUGGGCCAUCCACAUUAGGCUUCGGCAGCAAACCACAUCCUGAUGUGUUCAAGCAGAGAGAACAAGCGUUUGGGCCAAAAGCGGAUGUCACACAGAAUGCUGCUGCUCCCACCAACUUCACAAUGACUGCAAAUGGGCCAUCCACAUUAGGCUUCGGCAGCAACCCAUUCCCUAAUUUGUUCGGUCAGAGAGAUCCCUCUGCGUUUGGGCCAAAAGCGGAUGUCACACAGAAUGCUGCUGCUCCCACCAACUUCAGAGCGACUGAGAACGGGCCAUCCACAUUAGGCUUCAACUCAAACAGCAGGAUGACACUUGGCGAUUUCUUCAGGCAGGGAGAACCCUCUGCGUUUGGGCCAAAAGCGGAUGUCACACAGAAUGCUGCUGCUCCCACCAACUUCACAAUGACUGCAAAUGGGCCAUCCACAUUAGGCUUCAACUCAAACGGCAGCUUCCCACUUCCUGAUUUGUUCAGGCAGAGAGAACCCUCUGCGUUUGGGACAAAAGCGGAUGUCACACAGAAUGCUGCUGCUCCCACCUCCACCACAACGACUGAGAACGGGUUCUCCACAUUUGGCUUCAACCCAAAAAGCAGGCUCUCAUUUGUUGAUUCGAUGAAGGACAAAAAACCCUUUAUUUUUAUUAGAAAAGCGGAUGUCACACAGAAUGCUGCUGCUCCCACCACCACCACAACAACUGAGAAUGCUGACUCUAACUUCUCGUUGACGAACAUGUCUGGUGUUGCUGCAGCGUCUGCUUCCAAUAACAAGGAGGAGGGAUGUGACUCAGAAGAGAACAACGUGGACGUUCAGCCCAUAGUGUCCAUACCUGAGUCUGGGGAGGAUGGCGAGUAG
Molecule: long non-coding RNA, 1764 nt
Filed under: Gouania willdenowi (blunt-snouted clingfish)
Lineage: Eukaryota; Metazoa; Chordata; Actinopteri; Blenniiformes; Gobiesocidae
Description: lncRNA (ENSGWIG00000012647.1)
Source: RNAcentral